UUGGAAUAUUCCUCGCGCGCGCGCGAAUAUUUUGCCCGGACGAGCGAAUCUACCGUCGCUGCAGCACCUGCACGGCUGCACCCGCCUUGUUUGGACCGCACGCGCGGCCACCCUUCUCCUCCUCUCCUCUCUUCUUCACCUACCUAUUCUCUCUCGCUCGGCGCGCGUAGAAGAGAAGAGGCACUUCUUCCUCCUCGCCGGCUUCCCCUCGCGUGUCGCAAGUGCUUUACCCUACACCGUGGCCCGUGGAUCGUCGCCGGACGCCAGGCAUCGGCAAGCGGCAGCGCAGCCGUCCACCCUGAGUCCCUGAUUUUGCCAAGAAAACAGACAGCGGAGCAAGCCACACGGAAAUGAGCAACAAAGAAUGGUUUUGAAAUUUCAGUAUGGUACAGAAGCAUGGUGGACAGCACCAGCACAGCAUGUGGCCGUGAAAUAGAAGCAGCAAGUUACAGAUACUCUUUAUACAGGUACAUGUGCAUACACCAACCGUGGCCCAGACACUUCUGUCCAGGCGGGCACUGUUUGUUCAGUGUUAUCCGUGUCGGAUUAUUCUGCCACUAUGAGCAGGCCUUUCCUCCGAAGAGUUUCACAUGUGUUGGAGAUGCUACUCUAAAAUCAUCAUCUCCAGAAUCAGAGGAAGUUCAGUAGGUGCGAAGCCACAAGGCAAAUAAUAAUUUGUUUGGUAUUGCAAUCGAGGGAGCAGGAUGCGUAUCCUUUUAUUUACCUCACGAGUCAAUUGGUGCAACCCUUGCUGGCUUCAUUAUCCUUACAAUGUUCCUGAUGUGCUCAAACCCCAUGACUAUCACCCCUAUGAGAUAAAGAAAGCUUAGUUGCAGCUUGCCAAGCAAGUUAUAGACUGCUACGGCAGCAUUUGCACCUUCAUCUGUUCGCAUCGUGACGGUAAUGGGCCUCGCGGAAAUGAGUGCCCCGGUCUCUGAUGAGGACGCAGCGUAAGAGAUUUGAUCCAGAACAGUUAGCCUUGAAGAGAAAUCGGAGAUCCGGUGGCCUUUAUCAGAUCCAUAAGUGCAUUGUUCACCUGCAAUUCGUAGAAGGUUACAUGAGUUCCUACUGAACUUUUCAUGAUAGACUGUGACCAAGCGAGAGAAGCAAACACCAGAAAGUAUUGUGCUGAGUGCGUGCUAAGCCACAUGCCUAGAUACUUGAGGCAACUUGAUCCCAAAUACGACUUUUAGUAACCUAUUGUGUCGUAUAAUUCCGUUAUUCUCUGCUAGACCUAGUAAUGGGGAACAACUAUCUCCAAGAGUAACAUUUGGUUAGGUGACCAAUGAUGCUUUCAGAUAACUGCAACGUCUGAUGUCAUCUAAGUUCGCUCAGUAUAUAUGACAAAAGUGCAGCAGAUUUUUCUCACUCAAUUCUUCUUCCUAGUUUGGUA
This 1393-nucleotide unclassified non-coding RNA is filed under the name Zea mays. RNAcentral's name for it is "misc RNA Zm00001eb342420". The record is from RNAcentral. Lineage: Eukaryota; Viridiplantae; Streptophyta; Magnoliopsida; Poales; Poaceae.